GACGAACGCUGGCGGCGUGCUUAACACAUGCAAGUCGAACGGUAAGGCCCUGCUUUUGUGGGGUGCUCGAGUGGCGAACGGGUGAGUAACAUGUGAGUAACCUGCCCUCGACUUUGGGAUAUCUUCAGGAAACUGGGGCUAAUACAGUAUAGGCGCCCUGGCUGCGUGGGGGGGGGUGGAGAGAUUUUGCGGUUGGGGAUGGACUCGCGGCCUAUCAGCUUGUUGGUGGGGUAGUGGCUUACCAAGGCAAUGACGGGUAGCCGGCCUGAGAGGGUGACCGGCCACAUUGGGACUGAGAUACGGCCCAGACUCCUACGGGAGGCAGCAGUGGGGAAUAUUGCACAAUGGGCGGAAGCCUGAUGCAGCAACGCCGCGUGAGGGAUGACGGCCUUCGGGUUGUAAACCGCUUUCACCUGGGAAGAAGCGAGAGUGACGGUAAUGGGAGAAGAAGCGCCGGCUAACUACGUG
Molecule: ribosomal RNA, 468 nt
Filed under: uncultured bacterium
Lineage: Bacteria
Description: partial 16S ribosomal RNA
Rfam family: Bacterial small subunit ribosomal RNA
Source: RNAcentral